Onychostoma macrolepis is the source of this 1103-nucleotide long non-coding RNA. RefSeq lists it as uncharacterized. The transcript has 5 exons. NCBI's taxonomy places the organism in Eukaryota, Metazoa, Chordata, Actinopteri, Cypriniformes, Cyprinidae. The record is from RefSeq and is a predicted model, not a curated record.
UGUAGGGUGUUGACUGGUAGGGUUAGGGUUAGAUUAAAUAGACACGUUCUUGCAAAGUUACUUAUAGUCAGUAGAAUAGCUGUUGGGAGACCAACACGAGUUAUAUGAAGCAGACAGUCUACUAAUACUCUUAUGAGAGUUUAUUGACAUGUAGUUGCAACAUUACUUAGUGUCAACAGAAUGUUCAAAAGGGACCAUCAAAAUAAAGUGUUACCUGUUUAUUUUUCCUCUUCAUCGAAUUUUCUGGGUUCUUCACUCGUCUCGUCGUCAGACGGUCAAGCAACUCGCAGCAAGCAGGAUUAUAAGCUAAGGAUAGCUGCAUUAGCUACCCUUAACGUUAAACCACAAUAUUGCAGAAUUUGUUUUGCCUCCCAAAAUAAUUUGAGAAAUGGUGGAUUCGCAGCAAUGGGUCUACAAGCAUCCUAGAAAUCUUGGAGUUCCCCAGGCUUCUAGAAAAACUUGGCAUGAUGCUAAAAGGGAGAGUGCUUUCAAAGUCCUGCCCACUCUGCUUCCCCAAUCAAUAUUCAAGAAUGGAGGAAAGGUCUUCAGACCCACAACCAGAAUCCUGGAAGUAAUUCAUUUGAUGUACAACCUGUGGGGACCAACACGGUGAUGCAUUCCUGUACAUUUUGUGCCUUGGUGACGAGACAGCGACAUCCCACACCUUCGCCAUUGUUUCGGGCCAUGCCGUUGAAACGGACUUGUUGCUUGAGGUUGUUUAUCUUUUUCAAGUCCUUUUUUUGUGCUUGAUGUUAGCUACACUAACAUCUUCCUUCCUGGGAAUUUCUCCAGCAUGCAGUAUAUCUUAUUGAUGGACAUGAGUCUUCAUGUGUGAAGUAUUUGAGGGCACCAGUUUUUUCUGGCCACUUGUAACGUUUUAAUUUUUUGUCACAUGUAUUGUCUGUUGUAGGUCUCUUUGUUUGGCUUAGGUUUAAUGGCACAAUGUUUGGACUGAUUCUCAUGUGGCAAUAAUCAAUUUCAUAGUGUUAUGAUGCUGCAAUGUUGACAAAGAAUAGGAAUCUACAGUACCUAGUUUACAAAGUUUUGUUUUUUAAAGAAACUGAUCCAUAAAAAAACAUUUUAUUUGUGUCUGUAGGGACUGG